AGUGCAUCCACAAAGUCACUGAAGUGGGUGCUCUGAAGGAAUAGACAGUUUUAGAGUUAGCAUGUCUCGAAAGAGUUUAGUAUGUUCCCGAAACUAUUAAGGUGGUGCUUAAUCGAACUGUAUGAGAUUUUCUUGUCACAUCAUAAGUAGGGAUCUGGUUUGUUCACGUUUGAUAGGGGUCUGAUCUUUACCAGGAAGUUUAAACUGCAAAAAAACUGUUUGUGCUUAAGGCUCCACUGGCUGUUAUGAACACCUUACAAGUGCACCUUUGGGAGACACUGGACACGCCUUAGCAGUCACACCCAAAGUCAGAGGGAGAAGACACAGAUCUUCAGUAAUCCCACUCUAGAAUCCUAUGGCACUGGUGUGGUGAAGCCACACGGUCAUUUGUAUGGGAGAAAGCAGAAGGAGACGACUUCCUUCCAGGAACUUCUGGAUUUCAGUCACACAACGCCAUCGACAAAGGAAGCCAAUUUGUUACAUGUAAUGAUGUACUCUGGAGUGGUCGUGUUCUACAGAGGAAAAUGUUUUACCUGAUGAGGUGUCUGGGUUUGCAUGCGGAGGGACGGCGACAUUCUGCCUCUCACAAAAAUGAUUGUGCCUUGCUAAUCAAAUAGAGAUGUGAAUUUUAUGGCUUUUACCACUAUCAUGCACAUCAGGCUAGGUGCUUUUGAAUAAAUCAGUGUGAUUGGGGUGGAAUUGAUCUGCUGGUCUUGGAAGCAGUGGUAGUGUCCUUUGGAAACUGCUCCCUGUGCUCUCCUUUAGAAGCACAUUACGAUCUAAUCAUGCCAGCAAACACAUUCAAAGUAUUUAAAACAUGAAGUGAUUAAUAAGUGUUAAACAUUACAAAGGUUUCAAUGCAAAUAAAUGCAGUAUUACAUCA
Electrophorus electricus (electric eel) is the source of this 883-nucleotide long non-coding RNA. RefSeq lists it as uncharacterized. The record is from RefSeq and is a predicted model, not a curated record. Lineage: Eukaryota; Metazoa; Chordata; Actinopteri; Gymnotiformes; Gymnotidae.